AACGCACCUUGCGCCCUUUGGUAUUCCGAAGGGCAUGCCUGUUUGAGUGUCAUGAAACCUCACUCCACUUGGGUUUUUGCCUGAGUGGUAGUGUAUUGGGUGUUGCCUUGCCAAAGGCUCGCCUUAAAAGAAUAAGCACCUUGGAUGUAAUACGUUUCAUCCUAUCGGGUGGCUAAUAACCCCACAUAACUCAUGAUCUGGCCUCAAAUCAGGUAGGGCUACCCGCUGAACUUAA
This 235-nucleotide unclassified non-coding RNA is filed under the name uncultured Tremellales. Its description in RNAcentral is "sequence contains ITS2". The stretch from base 1 to 52 matches the Rfam family "5.8S ribosomal RNA", at positions 103 to 154 of the family's 154-position model. The record is from RNAcentral. Lineage: Eukaryota; Fungi; Basidiomycota; Tremellomycetes; Tremellales.